CUUCUCUUAGCUGACAUUGCUCUUAAUGAGGUCACAAUGACCUCUGUCUUUACCAAAUUCUGGUCCUUUGUCUCUUUAUUCACUGCCUUUUCUCUGGGUGGUCACAGCCAUACUUGUGGCUGUAAGGAGUUCUCUGCUGCUGCUUCCUAAGUUUUUAUAUCUGCAUUCCAUUCUCCAAGUGGACAUCUCCAUUUGGAUACCCCAUAGGCACCUCAAAUGCAGUAGGCUUUGUAAUAGAAGUCUUGAUUUUUCCUCCUCCUCUUGCUCUGCCCUCAGUUUUCCCAUAUAACAAAACAGCAUCCAGUUGCUCAAGCUAAAGACAGACCAUUGUUCUUCCCCGAUUCCUCCUUCCUCACCCUCACUCAGUGAAAGCUGUUAGCUCAACCUCCUGAACAUUUCUGGAGCCCAUUCAUUUCCUGUGCAGCACCCCCAUUACAGUGGCUCCUGACUUAAUUUCUCAGCAGUCUCCCUGCUUGUGUUCUCAUCCCCUGCAGUCAUUUUGUUACUCCAGCCAGAGUGGAUACUUUAAAAACCCGAGUAAGAUCAUGCCUUUUCCCUUUGGUCCUUCCUGUGGCUUUCCAUUGACCAGAGAAUCAACUCAAGCUUUAUUUUUUUUGUUUGUUUUUUUGAGACAGAGUCUCACUACGUAGCCCAGGCUGGCCUCGAAAUCAUGGUGAUCUCCUGCCUCAUCCUCCUGACGCUGGGAUUACAGAUGUGCAUCCCCACAUGUGGCAGCUGAACUCAAACAUUUUCGGGAGUCUCAGAGCACCUCAAGCUCCUGGCGCCAGCCCCUGCCCCUCCAGCCCACUCUACGCCACUGCUUCCUUCUGUUCCUCUGACACCAUCAUCAUCAUCUUUGCCCCGCUUCGAGCCUGCGUUGUUGCUGCCUCUGUUUCGUGCUUGUGUUUUCUCAGGACCCUGUAUCUCAUCCUAUCGUCAAGAUGACCGUGAGCCGCGGAACUAACUACUGGAUUGCGGAGCACCAGGUAGGAGCUGGGUCUACCAGGACGUGGCUCAUGGCUGUAACCGAGAACUCUGGGAGGCCGAGGCAGGAGGAUCUUAAAUUCCAGCCCAUCCUGGGCAGCUUAGAGACUUUGCAAGAUCCUGACUAAAAAUUAAAAAACGGG
RNAcentral lists this long non-coding RNA (1127 nucleotides) under Fukomys damarensis (Damara mole-rat). Its description in RNAcentral is "lncRNA (ENSFDAG00000029594.1)". The record is from RNAcentral. Lineage: Eukaryota; Metazoa; Chordata; Mammalia; Rodentia; Bathyergidae.